RNAcentral lists this ribosomal RNA (254 nucleotides) under uncultured bacterium. Its description in RNAcentral is "partial 16S ribosomal RNA". It matches the Rfam family "Bacterial small subunit ribosomal RNA", at positions 524 to 777 of the family's 1533-position model. The record is from RNAcentral.
GACAGAGGUGCCAAGCGUUAGGCGGAAUCACUGGGCUUAAAGCGUGUGUAGGCGGGUCGUUAAGUACCUUGUGAAAUCCCCCGGCUCAACCGGGGAACGGCUGGGUAUACUGGCGAUCUUGAGCGACCUAGGGGCAGUCGGAACAAGUGGUGGAGCGGUGAAAUGCGUAGAUAUCACUUGGAACGCCAAUGGUGAAAACAGACUGCUGGGGGUUCGCUGACGCUGAGACACGAAAGCCAGGGGAGCAAACGGGG